UGGGGAAUAUUGGACAAUGGGGGCAACCCUGAUCCAGCCAUGCCGCGUGCGUGAAGAAGGCCUUAGGGUUGUAAAGCGCUUUCAGCGGGGAAGAUAAUGACGGUACCCGCAGAAGAAGCCCCGGCUAACUCCGUGCCAGCAGCCGCGGUAAGACGGAGGGGGCUAGCGUUGUUCGGAAUUACUGGGCGUAAAGCGCGCGUAGGCGGUUUGCCAAGUUGAGGGUGAAAUCCCGGGGCUCAACCCCGGAACUGCCUUCAAAACUGGCCGACUUGAGUCCGGAAGAGGAGAGUGGAAUUCCCAGUGUAGAGGUGAAAUUCGUAGAUAUUGGGAAGAACACCGGUGGCGAAGGCGCUCUACUGGGCCGAGACUGACGCUGAUGGACGAAAGCUAGGGGAGCGAAAGGGAUUAGAUACCCCGGUAGUCC
Molecule: ribosomal RNA, 424 nt
Filed under: uncultured prokaryote
Description: bacterial SSU rRNA
Rfam family: Bacterial small subunit ribosomal RNA
Source: RNAcentral